UAGGGAAUAUUGGACAAUGGCCGAAAGGCUGAUCCAGCCAUCCCGCGUGCAGGUAGACGGUCCUCUGGAUUGUAAACUGCUUUUCUCUGGGAAGAAACCCCACGAUUUUUCGAGGGCUGACGGUACCAGAGGAAUAAGCACCGGCUAACUCCGUGCCAGCAGCCGCGGUAAUACGGAGGGUGCAAGCGUUAUCCGGAUUCACUGGGUUUAAAGGGUGCGCAGGCGGGCUUGUAAGUCAGUGGUGAAAGCCCCGGGCUCAACCUGGGAAUUGCCAUUGAUACUGCAAGUCUUGAGUAUAGUUGAGGUGGGCGGAAUACAUCAUGUAGCGGUGAAAUGCUUAGAUAUGAUGUAGAACACCGAUUGCGAAGGCAGCUCGCUAAACUAUAACUGACGCUCAGGCACGAAAGCGUGGGGAUCAAACAGG
Molecule: ribosomal RNA, 424 nt
Filed under: uncultured bacterium
Lineage: Bacteria
Description: bacterial SSU rRNA
Rfam family: Bacterial small subunit ribosomal RNA
Source: RNAcentral